This 81-nucleotide transfer RNA is filed under the name Verrucomicrobiota bacterium. RNAcentral describes it as "Verrucomicrobia bacterium (activated sludge metagenome) tRNA-OTHER". Lineage: Bacteria; Pseudomonadati; Verrucomicrobiota. The record is from RNAcentral.
GGAGGGAUAGGGGCAAAUCGCCCUCAGGCGAUUUGGGGCGCAGCCCCGAGCGGAGGCGAGUCAAUCCCUCCCUCUCCGCCA